GGGGAAGGGAACCGGAAGCUGCAGGAGGUCCGGGGAAAGCCACUUCCGCUGGUCUCGGAAAGUUGCCGCAGUACUUCGUAGGUGAAGAAGAGAGGCAAUAGAGGGUUGGAGGCUGAUGCUACUAGAAGUGUGACCAUGGGGUCAUGAAGAUUCAUAAAUGACUGAACAACUGAACAGCAACAAGGAAUGUACAGAGUCUAUUGGGAGUUGGAAGAAGCCUGGACACAGGAAGAUUAAUCGGGAAGCUCCAUAGUGAUGAGUGAAAACCAAGUCUGGGUGGUGGUAGACUGAAAAAUGUUCAUUUUUGGAAAGGAGUUUUAGGACAUAAAGCCCAACCUACACUUGAACAAGAGUCCUUUCUACAAUAUAGUUGAAAAUUAGUCAUCAGAAAUGGACAGAGGAUGGAAAGAGAGGAACAGUGAGCAGGCCAGUGUCACUCAGUUGUGGAGUACAGGAAAGGGGAGUCAAAGCAGAAGAAGGAAGGGGCCAUGUUGUGGAGAGUAUUAAAGGCCAAACAAGAAUUGUCUAUUUGACGAUAGACAGUAAGUGAAAGGGAAGGGAUGAUAUGGCCAUACCUAUGUUAGGAAGAUCAUGUUGGUAGCAGAGUGAAGAUGGGCUGGAGUAGGGAGAGACUUGAGGCAGGGAGACCCACCAGAAAGGUAUCUCAGUAGUCUAGUGAUGUGAUAAGGGUCUGCACCUGGGAGGUGGGAAGGGGAAGAACCCUCAGGUGUUAUGAAGGUAGAAUUGGCAGGACUUGGCAGCAGAUUGGUUAUGGGGUGAGGAGUCAAGGAUGACACCUAGGGUAUGAGCAUGGAGGCUGAAGGGCAUAGUAAAUAGAGAGCCAGCCUCAGAGUCAGGACAAGCUAGGUUCAAGUCCCACUUCUGACUCAGGCUGUGUGACUCUAGACCAGAUCUAGCAACCUCUCAGUGCCUCCAGGCAACUCUAACAUUGUAAGGUGCAGAGUAGGUGCUGAUCCAAAGGGAGUGUCUUAUACCAGUGAAAUUCAAAGGUCCAAUUCAAAAAGAAAAAUCCUCCCAUACCUAGCAUGGGGCUUUGUGCCAGUGAUAAGCAUUUAAUUAAUGGCUGCUGAAUGACAGAGUAUCAGAGAUUGUAGUUCUUUGGUACUUAGGACUCAAGAAUGAUCUGACUUCUGCACAUUAUUUUGUAAAUUAAGAACAGAAUGCAUAUAUUUGUUGUAAAACAGCAAGUGUGUAUGUGUGUGUGUGUGUGUUGUGUGUGUGUGUGUGUGUACACUGCAUGUAGGCAGCAAUCCGUGGUAGGCUGGCCAGCACAAUUCAAUGACUGAAAUAUAUUUAGCAUACUUCUUUUUCUCUGAAAAUUUUUAAUGCAUAUCAUUAAACCUUCUUGCUAUGUUAACUGCAUUAUCAUAUGAUAUGUGAUUCAAUCUUUUAACACAUUUUAUAAAACGUGAAAUUUUGUAAAGUUUUGGUACUUUUAUGGCUCUUUGUAAUGCCUUCUUUAGCUGGUGGGUCAAUCUGGCACUGAACCUUAUAAAAUAUGACUAGGUGGGUGUGGGUGUGGGUGUAUGGUAUUUGCUUUGAAACCUUACAUGAAUAGGUUGAUGACAACUUUAUUAAAUGAAAAGGGCGCUCACAUGGAGGGCUGCAUUCCAAUGAUUUAUAACAAGACUGAGAAUCCCAGAUAAACGAAAACAUUCAGAAGAAAAACUGAAAGAUGUUGGAAGAUAAAUAUGGCUCUAAAGGCUGUCCAAAAGCUGCUUCAAAUAGACUAUUACUACCAGUUGGACAGAGUCAUCAGAACAGGACUACACUAACAUAAAACAAAUUUUUCUAACAUCAAAAG
Molecule: non-coding RNA, 1825 nt
Organism: Phascolarctos cinereus (koala)
Lineage: Eukaryota; Metazoa; Chordata; Mammalia; Diprotodontia; Phascolarctidae
Source: RefSeq, a predicted model, not a curated record